This 274-nucleotide ribosomal RNA is filed under the name uncultured bacterium. RNAcentral describes it as "partial 16S ribosomal RNA". It matches the Rfam family "Bacterial small subunit ribosomal RNA", at positions 523 to 796 of the family's 1533-position model. The record is from RNAcentral.
ACACGGGGGGCGCAAGCGUUAUUCGGAAUUAUUGGGCGUAAAGGGCGCGUAGGCGGUUUUGUCGGUCAGAUGUGAAAGCCCGGGGCUCAACCCCGGACGUGCAUUUGAAACAGCAAGACUUGAGUACGGGAGAGGAAAGCGGAAUUCCUGGUGUAGAGGUGAAAUUCGUAGAUAUCAGGAGGAACACCGAUGGCGAAGGCAGCUUUCUGGACCGAUACUGACGCUGAGGCGCGAAGGCGUGGGUAGCGAACAGGAUUAGAAACCCCAGUAGUCC